This 252-nucleotide unclassified non-coding RNA is filed under the name uncultured Sordariales. Its description in RNAcentral is "sequence contains ITS2". Lineage: Eukaryota; Fungi; Ascomycota; Sordariomycetes; Sordariales. The record is from RNAcentral.
AACGCACAUUGCGCCCGCUAGUAUUCUGGCGGGCAUGCCUGUUCGAGCGUCAUUUCAACCAUCAAGCCCCCGGCUUGUGUUGGGGACCUGCGGCUGCCGCAGGCCCUGAAAUCCAGUGGCGGGCUCGCCGUAGCACCGAGCGUAGUAGUACACUUCUCGCUCCGGUAGCAGCGGCGGGCGCCUGCCGUAAAACCCCCCCCUUAAAAUCUCAAGGUUGACCUCGGAUCAGGUAGGAAUACCCGCUGAACUUAA